GCUUUUUUUCAAGCUGUGCAGAUACACUAAGCAGAAAAAUACCCCAUAUUAAAUGAAUUGUGAAUAGCGAUGUCUCUGCAUAAUGUUUGGGACUUCAAAAUUAACAGUUAUUGAUAUGGAGUAUAUGGAUGUUACUUCCCAGCUACCAGCUGCUGUUUAACAGUCAAUAAACCAGCAGUCAUCAAAUCAGAAUUGUUUAUCUUUCACUAAGAGUGCCGAUAUCCAAAAUGACACCAUUCCCAGAAAUCUAACCUGUAAACUUCAUUGUUCCGAAGUGUGGGGGCCUGUACUGGCAGGAACUGAGGUGUGAGGGUAGGGGUGGAAAGGAUUUUUAAAAAGCGGGUUAAAAAAGUUUAAAAGAAUUAAUGAAUGAAAAUGAAAAUAAGUAAAUAAAAAAUAUAUUUUUUUAAAAAGGGAUUUAAAAAGGGUUGAAGAUAGAGGAGCAAGUUCAUGGUCUGAAGUUGUGGAAGUCAGUAUUAAGUCCAGAGGAUGUAAAGUGCCUGAUCAGAAGAUCAGAUGCUGUUCCUCCAGUUUGCGUUGGGCUUCAGUGGAACAUUGCAGCAGGCUAAGAAUGGAGAUGUGAGCAUGAGAACAGGAUGGCAUGUUGAAAUGGCAAGUGACAGCAAAGUCAGGAUUGUGCUUGUGGACAGACCGAAGGUGUUCCGCAAAGCAGUCACCCAGUCUGCAUUUGGUUUCCCCACUGUAGAGGAAACUGCAUUGGGAGCAUCAAAUACAGUAGGACAAAUUGAAGAAGGUGCAAGUGAAGCAUUGCUUCACCUGAAAGGAGUAUUUAGGCCUUUGGACAGUGAGGAAGGAGGAGGUAACGGGGCAGGUGUUGCGCCUUCUGCAAUUGCAUGGAAAGGUGUUGUGAAGGAGAUGACGUGUCAGGGGUGAUGGAAGAGUGGACCAGGGCCUUAUGGAGGGUACCCUCCCUACAGAAUGCUGACAUGGUGGGUGAGGGGAAGAUGUUUUUGGUGUUGCCAUCAUGCUGCAAUUGGCGGAAAUGGUGGAGGAUGAUUGUUUGAAUGCAGAAGCUGUGCGGAGAAAAGCUAGGACAAGGGGUUCUGGGAGAGAGGGGAAGGUGUGAAGGCAGGGGCGCAGGAGAUGGGUUGGACAUGGUUGAGGGCCCUGUCAACACAGUGAAGGGUAAACCUCAGUUAAGCAAGAAGGAUGACAUGUCAGGAGCCUCGUUUUGGGAGGUGACAUCAUCAGAACAGAUGCGACGGAGGUGAAGGAACUGAGAGAAUGGGAUGGAAUCCUUACAGGAAGUAGGGCGUGAAGAGCUGUAGUCGAUGUAACUGUGGCAGUCAGUAGGCUUGUAAUGAAUAUUGAUGGACAGUCUAUCACCACAACAGCUUUCAGCUUCCUUGGAGCUGAAAGCUUCAUCCGAACUUCCUCUCCAGUACAUAUCUGCAUUUUCCCCUUCAUUUUUUGUAAAUUUCUCAUCUGAUUUCAGAGUUGCAGAUUUUGUGUUGAAAACAUACUGGGUGCCCACGGAAGCUCCUUUGAUUGACAGCUCUCUCUACCGCCCUCUCUCACGCACGUGACCCGCCAUAGCGUCACACCCCCUUUACGAGCUAAGGCGCCGCGCCUGCGCUGUGCCUCUAAUGAGCCACGUUCCCUUAGCAACCGACCGGCCCCGGCUGAUGAGCCGCCUUGAUUUCAGUGUCCGGUGAUGGGAGCUUGUUACUGAGAGUGUCCGCGUUUGGGGGGAACGGCAGCUGAUGAGGGGAAAUCGUCAACAUUUAUGAACCAGCAACACGGUCCGGGGCAGAGUCUCUGUGAAUCUGGGCAUUGUUCGUGACCCUAAAAUAAAAAAAAAGACAUAAAGCUGUUCUCGUUUGUACUUGUGACUUGAUUGGUCCAAUCUAUGAACUCGACUGCUGCUGUGACCCUGACUGCUGCUCCACAGACAUCAAUGUCUUCUCUUCCUGUCUACCGGCAGUGAACUGAUCAUGAUACAAUGUGAAACCCCAUAAUUAAGAGCGUGAGGAGAGUGGCAGAGACACAGGAUAAAAGAGUGCGAGAUAAGCGGAGACACAGGACAAAAGAGCGCGAGGAGAGUGGCAGAGACGCAGGGCAAAAGAGCGUGAGGAGAGCGGAGACACAGGAUAAAAGAGCGCGAGGAGAGCAGCGGAGACACAGGAUAAAAGAGCGCGAGGAGAGUUCCAGGGAGCAGAGUCGGAGGGCGGAGUUCUAGAGAGAGCAUCAGAAUCUGGGAAUCCCUGUCACCAACAUGGCUGAAGGUUCAAAGAGAGGACUAUGAUCAACAUCUUCAGCAAGAGUGAGAAUGGACAUUCAGAAUGCAAGUUCAGAAAAACAUAUUUAACAUAUUAUUUAUGCCCUGAUGAAGGGUCCAGCAAGAACCUGCAGCUCACACAGGAAGAGGGAGCAAGAUAGAAAAAGGAAAGUGCAUGACCAUCCAAAGGGGCAUCACAGUCACAUGUUCAGGGAGCCCUUGAGUACUGGAACUGUCCAGUAAAUAGAAUGGGAUUGUAAGGUGGAUAAGGACAGUGACUCGGAAUAGGAUCUUCCUGAGCAACAAUGCAACAUUUUUUUCUCUUUACAUUUUUUCAUGGGAUGUUGCUGGCCACGCCAGCAUUUGUUGCCCAUUCCUAAUUGCCCCUGAACUGAAUGACUUGCUGGACCAUGACAGAGAGCAUUUAAAAGCCUGGAGUCACAUGUAGGUCAAAGUAGGUAAGGAUAGAGGAUUUCCUUCCAUGAAGGGCAAUAGUGAACUGGAUACAUUUUUAUGACCAUUGAUGACAGUUUCAUGGUCACCAUUACUGGAAUUAACUUUAUAUUUCAGAUUUAUUAAAGGAAUUCAAAUUCCACCUAUCCCGAAUGAGAGGCCGGUGGGACUUAGGAAUAGGAGAAUGAUAGUUGUGGGAGAUUCUAUAGACAGGGGAAACGAGAGACUCUUCUACAGCCCUGAGCAGGUCACGAAUGGUAAGUUACCUCACUGGUACCACAGGGAAGGACAUCCUGGAACAGGUGGGACCAUCUCUGGGAAACAAAGUACAGCAGAAAAUAUCUAUGGUCAGAACCAAUAAUAUAGAUAGAAAGAAAUCUAUAAAGGGAAUAUAGAGACAGAGGCACUGGAGUAACUGAACCAGGCCUCAAGGUGAUGAAUCUCCAGGUUGUUUUGCAUGGGUCCAUUUAAGGAGGUAAAUAUGAGGCAGGUCAAUGAGCUGUUACAGGACUGGAGCAGGAGGGAAGUUAUUGGGGCAGUAGAGUGAGUUCAGGGUGAAGGGAAGGGACAGCCUUGAUCUGAACCCAGCGACAACAAUGGAUUUCCAGAAAUGGUGAAUGGAGCAGUGGGAAGCGUAUCUGCUGAUGUUAAUGGAGGGUGGGAAAUAUCCAGAUCUGAGACUAAAGAGUGAAUAAACUGUGGAGCAGAAACAGAAAUUAAUGAAAGGUUAUUAGAAAUAAGGAAGGAGGUUUUGAAACAGAGAGAGAUAAAGUCAAUUGGUAAUGAAAAAAAUCAUCAGAAUCAUCAUGUGUGCUCUGCCUGAAAGCAGGUCCUUCACUCAUGGUAGUCUUUCCAUGUCUCUAUCCUAUGCCUUUUCAUUAGCCAAUAAUUUCCUUCAACUUUCAAGCCAUUCAACAUUGAUAUUCUUUUCCUUCCUUUUCCUCUCUUUGCAUGAAGUCUUCCCUCCAUACAAAUGGAAGGAAUCCAUUCCCUCCUAAAAUGUGCUCUACCCAGACUCUCUGUCUGUUCCUAAUUAUGUUCAGCAAAUUUUUUAGUUUAUUCACUCUCUUAUUCACUUCAUUAUUUGCCAACUUUUUUGUCCAACUGAUCCUUUCCUCCUAAUUUUCCUCCUAAUCCACAUUUCAAAGCUUUUUAGGAAGUUAGCCUCCUCUUUCUGUAAGGUCCAAGUCUCACAUCCAAACAAAACAACAUUCCAAAUCAAGCACUUUACAAGCUACUUCUAGAGUUUUUUUUUCCUUCAGUUUUCUGGUUAGCUCUCCUCUUACCAAAUACAGCCUUUCCCAUUGCUAUUCUUAUUCUUAUUUCUUUGUUACACCUCCUAUAUGCAGAUAUUAUGCUUCCUAAACACUUGAAUUCCUUCUUCUCCCUUCUAUGAAUAUACAAAUUUUUUUUGGUGAUUUUAAGAUAUGUAUCACUUUGGUUUUGCCAAAGUUCACUUACACUUCGAAGUUCCUGUCUGCUAUCCUGACUGGUUCUUGUAUCCCUUCUUCUAUGCUAGCUACAACUGCUUUAUCAUCUGCAAAUCCGACUGAUGUUAUCAUCUGGCCCCCAGCUUUCCCCCACCUCAAUCUACCAAUAUAAACCACAGAUUCUGUGUCUUCAAAUGCUUCUUUGAUCAUUGCUUCGGCAUGGACAUUGAAGGGGACUGGUGAUAAACAAUACCCUUAUCAAACUCCUCAUUCAAUUAGACAUGGUUCCGACUCCUUGAUGGCUACUUUUACUGUUACUCUUUGUUCCAUGAUUUCUUAUGAGUCGUGUUGGGUUCCAUAUGACAGGAAAAGAAAUUUAGAACUUUAUUCUUUUGCCAUUAAAAAAAAAAGACUUUCUGCUGAACCAAAAAAUGGCUGCUAUAAGCCACAUUACCACAGGAUUGGACCUUUGUUCUGGGAUCUACCACCAGGAGUUACAAGAUCAAAAUAAGACUUUACCCAGCUCAUGGAAUCCCACACUUCAUUGUACAGAUCCCUUGUGAUCAACAAAAGCAGAGGAAGUGCAGAUGAACUGGCUCUCCAACUGGAACUAUCACAAAAGAGAGAAAAUGAAAUUCAUUAUAUUGGGAGAGAUACUGAUAACCACUUCAAUUCCCUCCUAAGGAGGAACAAUGGAAUUCUGACCAGAAGCACAGAAACUAAUUGUUAAUGUGCAACCAUUAAUGCAACAUGUCACAUGACCUAAGCCUCUGGCCUUUUUGUACAGUUUUAACGUUACAUCUUUAGCCUCGCAAGCAGCCUACUGUUUAACAUCUAAUUGGUGAACCACCAAGAAGCUUACCUCUAGGCAGAACAACAGGGUGCUUUUCAAGCCUGUUUCUGCUGGAAGAUUUCCUGCCAUUGUCUGCAAAACCGACACCAACUGUAAAGCAAAUUCCUCAACUUUGGUUUUCAGCCAGUUGAAUUUGAACUCCUACAUAAAAGAAUUCCUCAGUCGACUCUGACUCUGGACUCUGGAAAUCAUGUGAACUGAUAAUCAUUUCUGUGGUUCUUGUACUGUUGCUAUCUGUAAUCUAAAAUUCCUCUUUCUUUCCCCCCUUUACUGUGUGUGUGUGCACAUGUGUGUACAUGGGCUGGAUUGGGAAGUUGCAAACUCUCCUCCCCUGGUUUUGAAUGUGAAAUGAACUAAGCUUCAUAGUUAAACAUAACGCGAGUUUGCUGCGGAUUAUUAGUAAAUUGGAUCACACAAACUGAGGGUUGGGAGAAAGCCUCACUGCAUACUUUAAAAUAAUUCAAAACGCCUUCUGCUUACAGACAGGUGGUGAGAGGAAAUAAGUACAGUUUCCUGUCCCUCUCCUGUCUGUAACAGUCAUCUGUCUCUCCGGUCUACUCAGUGUCUUUCAGCACUAUCAAAAGCUUAAUCCAGUCAACCAAGUUAAAUGCUAUUUCAAAAUCUACAAAACAAACAUGUAAUUUCAGCCCAAAUUCUAAACUUCGUUCACGUAUUAAUUUUAUAAUGUCGAUUGUUUCUCCUCUCUCUCUUCGUCCCUGGAAUUCAAUCUGGUCAUCUCCAAUGUAGUUCCACACCUUCUUCUCCACUCUGUUACAACUCUCAACACAGCCUUUGAUGCAUGGGCAAUUAGACUAAUUUUACAAAAGUCAGGACAUCAGCAUGCUUUGGCUUCUUUCUUAUGGUGCUAAUUAUUAUCUGCAUGAAGUCCUCUGGCCAUUCCUCAUUACUGACAAGUAAAUAUCUUUGCACAGUUUCGUAAACUUUAAUGUUAUGCUUUUCCCCAGGUGUUUAAUCAAUUCUACAGGUAUUUUGUCUAUUACAGCCACUUUUCCAAUUUUUAUAUCAUUUCAUGCUGCUCUUAUCUCACUUUCUCAUAUCUAUAUUUUAAUAAAAUUGAUGUCAACAUUAAUCUCUCUUUCUCUGGGCUUGUUACUCCUCCCAUGUGCAUUGGCCUUCUUUAUAAGUCUCCCUUGUGGACCCUGUCAAAGCCUUUGCUGCAAUCCAUUUAAACUACAUCAACUGCACUACCCUCAUCUACACACCUGGUCACUCUCAAAAAAUUCAAUCAAAUUUCUUAGGCAUGACCUCUCUCUGACACAGCCAUGCUGACUAUCUCUGAUGAAACCUUG
Long non-coding RNA from Carcharodon carcharias (great white shark), 6285 nucleotides. RefSeq lists it as uncharacterized. The record is from RefSeq and is a predicted model, not a curated record. The transcript is spliced from 4 exons. Lineage: Eukaryota; Metazoa; Chordata; Chondrichthyes; Lamniformes; Lamnidae.